AGAGCAGGCCAGUUCCAUAAGUAAUAUAAUUGCCCAGGCCACCAAGUGAGAUACGAAAGAGCAAUUGUAUUUUGCAUUGGUUGAUUUUGAAGUGCUGUGCAGUCAGCUGUUGAUGUUUAUUACAAUUUUCCUUGUUGAUAUGUGAAGUAUAUGUUAUUCUAGAAUUUUAUCACACUGGAUAGCUAUUGUGAUUCACCUAGAAUCUGUCCAAUGUGAUUCAUAUGAUUGUGGCCUUUGUCAAGUGAAAUUUAUUAUUAACUCAAUUGUUCUGUG
Molecule: unclassified non-coding RNA, 273 nt
Filed under: Hevea brasiliensis (rubber tree)
Lineage: Eukaryota; Viridiplantae; Streptophyta; Magnoliopsida; Malpighiales; Euphorbiaceae
Source: RNAcentral